GGCCUACGGGAGGCAGCAGCUAAGAAUCUUCCGCAAUGGACGAAAGUCUGACGGAGCGACGCCGCGUGGGUGAAGAAGGCCGUGAGGUUGUAAAGCCCUUUUCUGCUUGAGGAAUAAGCCUGGGAGGAAAUGCCUGGGUGAUGACGGUAGGGCAGGAAUAAGCCCCGGCUAAUUACGUGCCAGCAGCCGCGGUAAUA
RNAcentral lists this ribosomal RNA (197 nucleotides) under uncultured Spirochaeta sp. RNAcentral describes it as "partial 16S ribosomal RNA". It matches the Rfam family "Bacterial small subunit ribosomal RNA", at positions 335 to 525 of the family's 1533-position model. The record is from RNAcentral. Lineage: Bacteria; Pseudomonadati; Spirochaetota; Spirochaetia; Spirochaetales; Spirochaetaceae.